Molecule: ribosomal RNA, 704 nt
Filed under: Escherichia coli
Lineage: Bacteria; Pseudomonadati; Pseudomonadota; Gammaproteobacteria; Enterobacterales; Enterobacteriaceae
Description: partial 23S ribosomal RNA
Rfam family: Bacterial large subunit ribosomal RNA
Source: RNAcentral
GAACCUUUACUAUAGCUUGACACUGAACAUUGAGCCUUGAUGUGUAGGAUAGGUGGGAGGCUUUGAAGUGUGGACGCCAGUCUGCAUGGAGCCGACCUUGAAAUACCACCCUUUAAUGUUUGAUGUUCUAACGUUGACCCGUAAUCCGGGUUGCGGACAGUGUCUGGUGGGUAGUUUGACUGGGGCGGUCUCCUCCUAAAGAGUAACGGAGGAGCACGAAGGUUGGCUAAUCCUGGUCGGACAUCAGGAGGUUAGUGCAAUGGCAUAAGCCAGCUUGACUGCGAGCGUGACGGCGCGAGCAGGUGCGAAAGCAGGUCAUAGUGAUCCGGUGGUUCUGAAUGGAAGGGCCAUCGCUCAACGGAUAAAAGGUACUCCGGGGAUAACAGGCUGAUACCGCCCAAGAGUUCAUAUCGACGGCGGUGUUUGGCACCUCGAUGUCGGCUCAUCACAUCCUGGGGCUGAAGUAGGUCCCAAGGGUAUGGCUGUUCGCCAUUUAAAGUGGUACGCGAGCUGGGUUUAGAACGUCGUGAGACAGUUCGGUCCCUAUCUGCCGUGGGCGCUGGAGAACUGAGGGGGGCUGCUCCUAGUACGAGAGGACCGGAGUGGACGCAUCACUGGUGUUCGGGUUGUCAUGCCAAUGGCACUGCCCGGUAGCUAAAUGCGGAAGAGAUAAGUGCUGAAAGCAUCUAAGCACGAAACUUGCC